Molecule: ribosomal RNA, 468 nt
Filed under: uncultured bacterium
Lineage: Bacteria
Description: partial 16S ribosomal RNA
Rfam family: Bacterial small subunit ribosomal RNA
Source: RNAcentral
GACGAACGCUGGCGGCGUGCUUAACACAUGCAAGUCGAACGGAAAGGCUCCAGCUUGCUGGAGUACUCGAGUGGCGAACGGGUGAGUAACACGUGGGUGAGCUGCCCUGCACUUCGGGAUAAGCCUGGGAAACUGGGUCUAAUACCGGCUAGGACCGCACUUUGGCGUGUGUGGUGGAAAGGUUUUUCUGGUGUGGGAUGAGCUCGCGGCCUAUCAGUUUGUUGGUGGGGUAAUGGCCUACCAAGACGGCGACGGGUAGCCGGACUGAGAGGGUGGACGGUCACAUUGGGACUGAGAUACGGCCCAGACGCCUACGGGAGGCAGCAGUGGGGAAUAUUGAACAAUGGGGGAAACCCUGAUGCAGCGACGCCGCGUGGGGGAUGAAGGCCUUCGGGUUGUAAACUCCGUUCGCUAGGGACGAAGCUUUUUGUGACGGUACCUGGAGAAGAAGCACCGGCUAACUACGUG